Molecule: long non-coding RNA, 244 nt
Organism: Meriones unguiculatus (Mongolian gerbil)
Lineage: Eukaryota; Metazoa; Chordata; Mammalia; Rodentia; Muridae
Exons: 2
Source: RefSeq, a predicted model, not a curated record
CCCCGCUACUGCAGGAUGACGUCAGCACAGCCCGGCAAGGAUUGAUGGGGCCACUGGCCAAUUGGAAGACUGGGGGCGCCAGGCCAUUCCGCCAGCUAAUCCCCGCUGCGUGCUUUCUUGAAACCGGGAGGCGAAACCUUGAGUAUGAAAUUCUAGCAUUUCAGUUCCAACCCGGGAGCCCUGUGGGAACCGGAGGAGAACCAGCAGGAAAAAAAAAAAAAAAAAGAUGACAAGGGCCCCGAAA